UCCGUCAUGGCACAGUGGCUCAAGCGUGUGAUUGUAAACCUUACAGGUCGUGAGUUCGAUUCACUUUUGGAGGAA
This 75-nucleotide transfer RNA is filed under the name Heliconius melpomene (postman butterfly). RNAcentral's name for it is "tRNA HMEL014971". The record is from RNAcentral. Lineage: Eukaryota; Metazoa; Arthropoda; Insecta; Lepidoptera; Nymphalidae.